GCGGACGUGGUGCACGGUGCGCCACUGCCCUGAAUUGAAUCCAUUCCUGUGGUAAGCAGUUGACCGGGGUUCGAAUCCCCGCGUCCGCC
This is a non-coding RNA of Mycena latifolia, 89 nucleotides long. The record is from the annotation of a GenBank genome assembly. Lineage: Eukaryota; Fungi; Basidiomycota; Agaricomycetes; Agaricales; Mycenaceae.